RNAcentral lists this ribosomal RNA (429 nucleotides) under uncultured bacterium. RNAcentral describes it as "bacterial SSU rRNA". It matches the Rfam family "Bacterial small subunit ribosomal RNA", at positions 355 to 776 of the family's 1533-position model. The record is from RNAcentral.
UUAGGAAUAUUCGGCAAUGGGGGAAACCCUGACCGAGCAAUGCCGCGUGAAGGAUGACGGUCCUAUGGAUUGUAAACUUCUGUUGUUAGGGAAGAACGACCUAAGUAGGAAAUGACUUGGGAGUGACGGUACCUUUCAAGAAAGCUCCGGCUAACUACGUGCCAGCAGCCGCGGUAAUACGUAGGGAGCGAGCGUUAUCCGGAUUUAUUGGGUGUAAAGGGUGCGUAGGCGGCCAGAUAGGUCUAUGGUUUAAGCCCGAAGCUUAACUUCGGUUCGCCAUAGAAACCGUUUGGCUUGAGUAUGGUAGAGGCAAGUGGAAUUUCUAGUGUAGCGGUAAAAUGCGUAGAUAUUAGAAGGAACACCAGUGGCGAAGGCGACUUGCUGGGCCAUUACUGACGCUGAGGCACGAAAGCGUGGGGAGCAAAUAGG